Long non-coding RNA from Phyllostomus discolor (pale spear-nosed bat), 4824 nucleotides. RefSeq lists it as uncharacterized. The transcript has 2 exons. The record is from RefSeq and is a predicted model, not a curated record. NCBI's taxonomy places the organism in Eukaryota, Metazoa, Chordata, Mammalia, Chiroptera, Phyllostomidae.
GCGGGGCCUGGUAGGAAAGCUCCGGCUGGCUGGGCCGGCCGUGCGCGCGCGCCGGACGGUCGGAGGGUCGGAAGGGAGCGAGCCUCAGCACGCCGGGAGCUGGGCAGCCCUGGGGCCUCGCUGAGCCGCAGAAAAGCUGUGGAAAUACACCCAUAUCAAAAUGCCCCUGGCCCGUGUGACCCUGCCCCAGGAGAAGCAGCCGAGUUACCCGACAUGGUGGUCAGCAGAAGCUGGGUUCGUGGCUGGAUGCUGCAGCUGCAAGGACUCAGCACUUCGGAGGGCUCCUGUACAAGGAGAGAAGCAGAGAUGCAACAUUUUUAAAGUUUCACAAAGCAUCCAGCUGCAUCCAGGUUCCUGGAGCAGGAGACAAACAGAAUUAAUGUUUUAUACCUUCGGGUAUAGGUUUGAGUUUUUUCCCCCUCAUGCCAAGUAUUUAAAACCUCUAGAAACCCAUGAUUUGACAAUCAAUGAUUGCGCGGUACUUUCAAUUUGAAUAUUCAAAGGCUUAACAAAAUGGACUAUCUUCUGCAGAAAUCCUGCACACAGACACCCCAUAGAGGGUCCAGAGAAACAGGGAGUGAGACCCCUUUAGGUCCUGACCCUUGCUUUUAUUUUAUUUUGAGCAUUUUGCCCACCUUCCCACAAACAGAGCAGGAGUGCUCAAAGAUGCUCUGUAUUUCUGCCUCAAAGGCAGCUCCAGGAGCCCUGAAGGACUUAGGCUGCUCUUCAUGACCACCUGAGCCAGCCUGGCUGGCCAGACUGAUCCCCACAUCCCCUAUUUGUAUUUUAGAGGGGUAAAUCUUACUUUUUAAGCAGUGAACAUGGCAGCCAGUAGGUAUGACAUGGCAAGUAGUCACUCUGGGCUCAGGUUGCAAGCCAGAGGCCUAGCAGAGGCCUUAGCUCUGCACCUCAUCUCCUUCUGGCCCUGCCUGGCUACCAGCAGGCUUCCCUCCCUUUUCACCUGCUCUCUCUCUGGGGCCCAGACACGGGGGUUUCAGGAGAAUGCCUGCUGGUUAAGAUCCUUUGCUCUUCUGCAAGGUGCUGGGGACUGCCCAUGGGGUCUUGCAGUUUGGAGAUUUUCAGAGACUAGUAGUUUCUUCACUGUGAAGUUUCCUCUUCUCCCCCUUUUCUCCCUCUAGAGCAUCCCUACUAGUUUGCUGCAGGAGCUUUUGUUGAGAAAUAAUAUAAUUGGCUCCUGCUCAUUUGAGCUGAAAGGACAUGGAUGCACUCAAGCCUUCAGACUUUGGCAAGAGGUGUGGGGGGAGGUGUUCUAGGCCUGAGCCCCUCACCAAUGACCUGGGGCUGUGUUGGGUCACAGCCCCAAAAUGGAAUUCCAAAAGUGGAAUUGAGCCCCACAGGGCACCAGAAAAAACCUGAGUGACUUCAAAUGUGUCUGAUGCAGGGUGGAGCCUGAGACAAUGAGGGAACAGGGCUGUCUGGAAAUGACAAGACACCAGAGUCUGUGAUGGGUAGGAAUUGCUUGGCAGCUGAAGCCUUGUCUCUGGUGGAGGCGACCAGGGCUGAGAACCACCAAGGUGGCACCUGACAGUGGAGGGCAGGCCAGGGUGUGCUUGUCUCUAGCCUAGUUGGAAUCUGUAACAGCUUCUGGAGCCUCUUUCUCCAAAGGCCCCUGAGCCUGUGCCCUGAGUUUCCCUGCUGGAAGUUAGACUUCAGACCAGACUCAGGAAGAGGGGAAGAACACCAGGUCAGAGGGUUCCAAUUUCCUUUCUCCCUGCUCUGCCCUGCCUGGGCACUGACUGCUCCUUCUGCAGGAACAGUGAACAAAGCAGCAUGGAUUUGGAUGGUGUCUUGUCCUACUAGCUUUUUCCACUGUUUCUUUUUUCUUUUGUCAUUUACCUUUUUGUUUCACAAUUGUUUUUUUGUUUUGCUUUUAAAAAUCGUCCUCUUUUUUUUAUUUGGCCUCUUUGAUUAUUUUUUCUGAGUUUCUUUUGGUCUGCCUUUCACUGCUUUCCUCCAUUUCUUGUCUGCUUUGAGGGUUUUUUUCCCUUCCUUCCUGGCUCCCUGUGUGUGUGUCUCUUUGCCCCUGUUCUGAGGUGCUGCCUCACAUUUUCAGGCUUAGUCUCCUUCCUAGCCUUUCCUUUCACAUGAAGAUGGACAGCGAUGGCAGGAAGCCAUAGUGUUCCCUUGGCAACAUCACUGAAGUUGAUGCUGAUGUUGGCUGCCCUGUGGAGAUGGCAGGUAGCGCUGGGUGAGAGGUGAGCUCCUUGGAAAUCACGGGGUCUGUAGGGACAGUGAAGACCUCCCUGUCCUUCUGCCAGAAAACCUCUGCUUGAACCAUGGCAGCAGUUUUGGGGGCUUGUGUAUUGGCACCUGCUGCUGGGACAGGUAUUCCAGUGCAGUUGCUGGCCUGCAACUUCAGACAACCGGGUUUCCUUAGACCUGAGCCCUAUUUUGAGAAAGAAGUCCCAUUUUUAGCCCAACAUUAAGGACUUUUAGUUUCUGCUUUUCUAUAACUGCAAAACCCCAGCUCAGGUAUUCAGGAGCCAAACACCAUGCUUUAGGGCAUAAGGGAGAAUCCUUUCUAAGUAUAUUCUGUGAAUCCUCUUAUUGAUCUGCAUGUGUUGUGAGGUCUGGAGCAGCCAUGUCUGCCCCGGGACCCCAUAGAUGUGGAUGUUUCAAACAAGAGGCUUUUUAAAAGUUGUCAUUUACUGAAUGUUGAUUGGAUGCCAGGCACCAUAUGGUAUAGUCUUCUCAUUUCACAAAAGGGGGAACAGGCACAGAGGGGUAAGCAACAUGCCCAAGAUUAUUGACCCUUAAAUGGUAGGAUUGGGAACCAAACUUUGAUACAUCCUAUGCUAAAGCCUUUCCUCUUAACUAUCAUUGCUGUCUUCCUGAUCUUUUAUAGCACAGGCUUUCAAACUUUUUCAACUUCAACCCACAUAAGGAACUUACUUUGCAUGUUCAUGUACUAUAUCUAUAAUAAUAUCUACAUAUUUAUAAAACAAACUUUUCAUAAGACAGUGUACACCUGUGCAUUUGAAGCACUCUGAAAUUUUAUAUUGUAUUCCAUUUUUUCCAUUUUAUUCUAUGAAAAAUCUAUGUUGCCUGGGAGUGACUAAGAUAAUUUAAUGGCUCACUGAUGCGCUGUGACUAGCAGUGGGGAAAUACUGCCUAUAGGAUGUGCUGACGCACACGUCUCUGUUGUGCAUGUGGGAGUGUUUAGGUUCACUGUUUUACUCUUCGGUCGUGUGAGGAGACUCAGAUGGUGCAGCAUACUAACUUGAGAGUAUUCUGUAAACACAAGACAUUAGAACCCAAAGAAUAGGCUGCCUAUUCUUUGUGGUAAGUACAGUUUGUGCUUCGCAGACUGGGAACUUCUUCCCUCUUGCUGUGGGCAUUGCUACCUCUAGGGUGUCCUGAUAAGCAUUUUUGGGUCUUAAUAAAAGGCUGCAAAAUACUAUGGGGUUUCAACAGCUUCAACAGAUUCACUUGCUUAAAAAUGUAACAUAAGGUCCUGAUGUUUGCAUGUUGGAAGGGAUCUUUAAGGUGCUGAGAAACUUGUCAACAUCCCUGCUGGUGGUUGUCCAGCCUCAGGUUCUCUCCAUUGCUUGCUGGGCUGCUGACCUACCGUAGAUGAGGAAAUGGGAGCUCACUAUUGAUCAGGCAGCCUGUUCUAUGAUUAGACUGCCUUGAAUAUAAUCAUUGAUCAAGCAAAAAGCCAGUAAGGUGUUAAUUGAGCACCACCUAUGUACCAGGCAUGGUAUCAAGUACCAGGAAUGCAAAGAUAAGUAAGUCCUGCUUUCUGUCAUCAACUGCUCUGUGAGUAACAUGGGAAAACUGAUUCCUACUGAUUCUCCACUAGGGCCAUUCAUUCACUCACUCAUUCAUUCAUUCAUUCAUUCAGAAAGCAUAUGUUCAUUAUCUACUUUGACCAGGCUGUGCUAAAGCUGAAGAAGUUAUCAUGCCCACCCCCCACCCAAAGCUUUUCUUUUUGAGGCUCCCCAUCUUGAGUUUCUCUAGUUCUUCAUAUGUUACAGUUCUGCAGAUAUCUGGGCCACUGAGCUAAGAAACCCUUUAGUUUGUCAUUGACCUUCAUAAAGUCACUCAACAUGCAGAACAAUGAGAAUAGAAUACAUUUCUUUUUAAAGUUUCAAAUUAACUUUUUUAACUCAAUUUUUGUCAGUCUUUUGUAUGUAAAUGAUACUGCAGAGCACUAUAUUCUCCCCACAAAGGAGGAGAUUUUAUUAAACUUAGACAUGAUGAAAAGGCUUUCAAUGUAAGGAAAAGGGGGAGUUUAUUCUCUUCAAAUUUGACUACAGCUCUAACCUCUAUUAAUGCAAACUUCUUUUGUCAUUUUGACUUUGGGAUACUGUUGCCCAACCUUGUGGGAAAUGUCAAGUUCCAAAAACAUGGAGGAAAUUAGUAGUUACUGGGCCCAGAGUGAUUGUUUGGUCCAUAUGAAAAUGGCCAGGGAGACCUUUAGGUAGAGAUUACUUAAUGAUUUGUGGUAAAUCAGUCUCUUCCCAUAAAACAUAUUCCAAGUCUUAACUUUCCCUUCAGAGGCUGCCAUAGAGAAUGAACCUUUGAUAACUUUUGUUUUCAUUAAGGGAAAUAUCACACAAGAUGAAUACCAUCACAGAUGAAAAGUUCAUUUUCUUCUCAAAACAUUUUUAUUAUGCAAUAUAUGUCAUAGAAAACAUACCUAAAGAUUACCAUGAUAAAAGCCUAUGAAUAUUCAGAUACAACACAGUUGAUACACAGUUGAAUUUCCUUUAUGGCUAAGUUAAUUUAUUAAGCAUUAAACUUUUGGUUUAUUCCACUCAAGACCCUUGGUUAGGGCAAAGGUCAGUAGGGACAUCUAUC